CGCCAGUCGGCCCAGUCACCGUCGUCUUCAACCGACUGGAUGCUAACAAUAACGGCAAGGUGUCACAAGAGGAAUUCCUUGAAGGCUAUGCUAAGAUUCUGGCUGAGGUGGCAGCGAUUGUUGGGUGAAAGACAAGACGAUUUGUGAUUAGUUGUGCAAUAAAAGGGAGGACUAGUUAUUUGA
Molecule: long non-coding RNA, 183 nt
Organism: Pomacea canaliculata
Lineage: Eukaryota; Metazoa; Mollusca; Gastropoda; Architaenioglossa; Ampullariidae
Exons: 3
Source: RefSeq, a predicted model, not a curated record